CCGGGGAGCCGGGCAGCCGCGGGGUCGCCAAGGAAACUUGGAUGACCGCGAGGAAAGUCCGGGCUCCACGAAACAAGGGUGGCAGGUAACGCCUGCCGGGCGAGGGCGGUUUUCAGACCGUCCGAAGCCUAGGGAAAGUGCCACAGAGAGCAAACCGCCGAUGUUUUCCUCGGAAAGCAGGUAAGGGUGAAAGGGUGCGGUAAGAGCGCACCGCGCUGCCGGUAACGGUAAGCGGCUUGGUAAACCCCACCCGGAGCAAGACCGAAUAGGGGCUGCGCGCCGGCGUCUCGCGAAAGCGGGGGAGAUCGGCGGGUUCGUUUCGAACCCAGGCAGCCCGGGUUGGUCGCUUGAGCGAGGCAGCGAUGUCUCGCCUAGAGGAAUGGCUGCCGCCGCGGCGUAAGGUCCCUCUCUUUGGGAGACCACGCCAGGAACAGAACCCGGCUUACAGGCUCCCCGGCGCA
This is a non-coding RNA of Sphingomonas sp. LH128, 461 nucleotides long. The record is from Rfam. Lineage: Bacteria; Pseudomonadati; Pseudomonadota; Alphaproteobacteria; Sphingomonadales; Sphingomonadaceae.